ACCCCCUGGCAAUGGGCAAAGAGACACCACAUUGGUGGUAUUGUUCUUAAAUCAGUUGGGGGCAGAGCAGAUGGUAGUCCUUUGUUCAUCCUGGCUUGAUGCCCGACUCAGUGGUCAAAGCUGCUUCAUGCCUAGGGCUCAAUC
Molecule: small nucleolar RNA, 144 nt
Organism: Nannospalax galili (Upper Galilee mountains blind mole rat)
Lineage: Eukaryota; Metazoa; Chordata; Mammalia; Rodentia; Spalacidae
Product: small nucleolar RNA SNORA48
Exons: 1
Source: RefSeq, a predicted model, not a curated record